GCUGAGACAUCAGGGCGAGAUGAAGACGCAGCAAAGACCACUUCAGAAAGAGCAGAGACUCGGCGGCAAGGGGAAGCAAAAUGAAUGAGGCCACGCAAUCUUAGACAGCGGAAUGGAGGGGGUGUGGGGAACUGCACCACGGCCAGAUCAAUCAGGGCCCGAUUUCCAGAGCUAGAAUUCGAACUUUUGUCCAGAAAACAAGAUGCCACUGAAGCAUCCGUCCGAGGAGAGCAACGUGACAGCAUCUGCACCUUGGAAAGCCCAGGCUCAGAGGAUGUUUAAACGCUGACCCGGAGUGAUGUAAUUCCUAACCCUGUAAAAUUUGGGCCUUGAGUGUGUCUCAGAGUCAUGCAUGAAAGACGGGAGACUAGACGCUGAGAGCAGCCACCUGAACAAUGAACUAUGGUCAAGCCCUGGAGUUCCAAUAAAGCCCUGGAGAUCGAGGCCUGGGCAAUCCUCUUGACUUGGCAAUACUGCAUGGGUAUUGCCAUACGUCACUGCUGAGAGAAGACCGUGACAUUCUGCAUUCGGUCACUUACCAGACUCGUCUACGCAGUUCUGCCCUUGGGUGAUUUUAAUAUGUAUCCUUUCUCCUGUUAAUAAACCGUAGACUGAAUAUAAACAGCUUUCAGUGUCAGAGAACAGACCGUCUGUGGGUACCGUGCUCUCUGAUUCAUUCUUCCAUCUGCACCUGUCACAGCACUUCUUCUUCCCGAAUCAACUACUCACAGGACAUGGUGAACUGAAAAGAGCCCAGUGACUGAACUGGCCGAAAAUGUCACUCAAUAGGAAGUAAUUGCUUUGAACUGU
Long non-coding RNA from Microtus ochrogaster (prairie vole), 810 nucleotides. RefSeq lists it as uncharacterized. Lineage: Eukaryota; Metazoa; Chordata; Mammalia; Rodentia; Cricetidae. The record is from RefSeq and is a predicted model, not a curated record.